AUGGUGCUUACGCACAAGGAGGAGGGCGACGACUGCUAUCUCCCGCCGCCGGUGGUCAUCGGGCCCGACGAGGACGGUGUGAGAAAGGUUAUCGAGUACCGCAUAGAAGAGGGCAUGGUUCUAAAGGUGACCACGACCACCCGCUCCCGCUCUAAACUCGCCGCCAAGGAGCACCGCUCGUGGGCCAGGUUCGGCGACGCCACCGACGACGACGCCACCUUCCGCUCACGUAAUCCUCCGCACCCAAACGUGUUCUCCUCCCAGGAAGUCUUUCUCGAUCGCCCUGGGAUUGGCAGCAGAGCUGCAAGAGGCGAUGGUUCCGUGGUUUGCAGGACCUGCAAGAAGGGCUACCACUGGACGUCAAGGUGCCCAUACAGUGACCUUUAUUCCCAGCUGGAAGCCUUGGAUGAGCAGCCGAAACCCGCGUGUGAAGGAGGUCGCUCCGCCGCAUACGUUCCUCCAAAGUUGAAGCCUGGGGGCGGUGACAACAUGAGGCGGAGGAACCACGACAACACCGUCCGCGUGGACAAUCUUUCGGAGAAAGUCCGUGAUCCAGACCUUCUGGAGCUGUUUGCCGCGGUUGGCCCGGUUCGCCGUGCACAUCAAGGGUUUGGAUUCGUAGAGUUCGUCCGCAGAGCAGAUGCUGAAAGGGCUAUCCACACCCUCGAUCGUUACGGCUACGAUCACCUCAUCAUCCGUGUGGAGCGACCAGAACGACGCGUCGCCUGA
RNAcentral lists this ribosomal RNA (729 nucleotides) under Triticum aestivum (bread wheat). Its description in RNAcentral is "partial small subunit ribosomal RNA". The record is from RNAcentral. Lineage: Eukaryota; Viridiplantae; Streptophyta; Magnoliopsida; Poales; Poaceae.